GGUUGUUCUGAGUGCAGUGGUGUUUACAACUAAUUGAGCACACCCAGUUACAGAUUCUUUUGUUCCUUCUCCACUCCCACUGCUUCACUUGACCAGCCUUGG
RNAcentral lists this Y RNA (102 nucleotides) under Microcebus murinus (gray mouse lemur). RNAcentral describes it as "Y RNA (ENSMICG00000044688.1)". It matches the Rfam family "Y RNA". Rfam says of the family: Y RNAs are components of the Ro ribonucleoprotein particle (Ro RNP), in association with Ro60 and La proteins. The Y RNAs and Ro60 and La proteins are well conserved, but the function of the Ro RNP is not known. In humans the RNA component can be one of four small RNAs -- hY1, hY3, hY4 and hY5. Lineage: Eukaryota; Metazoa; Chordata; Mammalia; Primates; Cheirogaleidae. The record is from Rfam by way of RNAcentral.